UCUCUUGCUCGUUGACUCUCUUAAGCUUCUCUUAUGGCGAUGGCUUCACUAACAACUUCUUCUAUAGCUCUCCUCAACAAGUCUUUAUUACCUAACCGCUCUUCUUCCCUCUCCUCCUCUACCUCUCACUCUCGUCUUUACCGAUUCUCUUCUCCUCCUUCUUCUUUUCGUAUCUCCUCCUCUACCUCUCUCUACCGAUUCUCUUCUCCUCCUUCCUCUGUUCGUUCUCGUUUCACAUCUGCCUCCAUACGCGCCGUUGCUCUUGAACCGG
RNAcentral lists this long non-coding RNA (271 nucleotides) under Brassica napus (rape). RNAcentral describes it as "long non-coding RNA (BNAP_LNC016634)". The record is from RNAcentral. Lineage: Eukaryota; Viridiplantae; Streptophyta; Magnoliopsida; Brassicales; Brassicaceae.